This 406-nucleotide ribosomal RNA is filed under the name uncultured bacterium. RNAcentral's name for it is "partial 16S ribosomal RNA". It matches the Rfam family "Bacterial small subunit ribosomal RNA", at positions 30 to 526 of the family's 1533-position model. The record is from RNAcentral.
AUUGAACGCUGGCGGCAGGCCUAACACAUGCAAGUCGAACGAGUGGCGGACGGGUGAGUAAUGUCUGGGCAACUGCCCGAUGGAGGGGGAUAACUACUGGAAACGGUAGCUAAUACCGCCUACCAUCGUAUGUGCCCAGAUGGGAUUAGCUAGUAGGUGGGGUAACGGCUCACCUAGGGGACGAUCCCUCGCUGGUCUGAGAGGCUGACCAGCCACACUGGAACUGGAACACGGUCCAGACUCCUACGGGAGGCAGCAGUGGGGAAUAUUGCAAAAGGGGCGAAAUCCUGAGGCAGCAAUGCCGCGUGGAUGAAGAAGGCUUUCGGGUUGUAAAGUACUUUCAGCGAGGAGGCGUUACUCGCAGAAGAAGCAACGGCUAACUCCGUGCCAGCCGCCGCGGUAAUUC